This 513-nucleotide ribosomal RNA is filed under the name uncultured bacterium. RNAcentral describes it as "partial 16S ribosomal RNA". It matches the Rfam family "Bacterial small subunit ribosomal RNA", at positions 28 to 523 of the family's 1533-position model. The record is from RNAcentral.
GACAAACGCUGGCGGCGUGCCUAAUACAUGCAAGUUGAGCGCUGAAGGUUGGUACUUGUACCGACUGGAUGAGCAGCGAACGGGUGAGUAACGCGUGGGGAAUCUGCCUUUGAGCGGGGGACAACAUUUGGAAACGAAUGCUAAUACCGCAUAACAACUUUAAACACAAGUUUUAAGUUUGAAAGAUGCAAUUGCAUCACACAAAGAUGAUCCCGCGUUGUAUUAGCUAGUUGGUGAGGUAAAGGCUCACCAAGGCGAUGAUACAUAGCCGACCUGGGAGGGUGAUCGGCCACAUUGGGACUGAGACACGGCCCAAACUCCUACGGGAGGCAGCAGUAGGGAAUCUUCGGCAAUGGACGAAAGUCUGACCGAGCAACGCCGCGUGAGUGAAGAAGGUUUUCGGAUCGUAAAACUCUGUUGGUAGAGAAGAACGUUGGUGAGAGUGGAAAGCUCAUCAAGUGACGGUAACUACCCAGAAAGGGACGGCUAACUACGUGCCAGCAGCAGCCGCCG